AUUGAACGCUGGCGGCAGGCCUAACACAUGCAAGUCGGGCGAGUGGCGGACGGGUGAGUAAUGUAUGGGGAUUUGCCAGAUGGAGGGGGAUAACUACUGGAAAAGGUAGCUAAUACCGAAUACCAUCAGAUGAACCCAUAUGGGAUGAGCGUGGAGGUGAGGUACAGGCUCACCAAGGCAACGAUCCCUAGCUGGUCUGAGAGGAUGAUCAGCCACACUGGGACUGAGACACGGCCCAGACUCCGACGGGAGGAAGCAGUGGGGAAGAUUGCACAAUGGGCGCAAGCCUGAUGCAGCCAUGCCGCGUGUAUGAAGAAGGCCUUAGGGUUGUAAAGUACUUUCAGUCGGGAGGCGUUACCGACAGAAGAAGCACCGGCUAACUCCGUGCCAGCAGCCGCGGUAAUAC
This 406-nucleotide ribosomal RNA is filed under the name uncultured bacterium. RNAcentral's name for it is "partial 16S ribosomal RNA". It matches the Rfam family "Bacterial small subunit ribosomal RNA", at positions 29 to 526 of the family's 1533-position model. The record is from RNAcentral.